AUUUUUUUCACCGGAGCGCGGACAGACCGUUAAAACCGAACAAAUCCUUUUUAAACGAUUCCGGUUUAUUUGUAUUCUGUGCUGUAAGACACUGUGCUUUAAUAGCAAACUGCAAAAAAGGCAGUACGUAUUGCUUUCCUUUUAAUUUCACAAUGGAACGUUUCACAAAAACAGUAGACUACUUUCCUGUGUUUAAGUGACCGGUGAGUCUGGGAUGGAAUGGAAUAAGUCUGGGAAGCGUCAAGGGAGCAGGAAAUGGCGGGUUAGUCACACGGAGGGGUAGUGACGGGCGGUAUGCUAAGUGACAAAUAGGCAGAAAGGAACUCAUUAAAACUGGGGUUUGGGACUCAUCAGUGCCCACGAGCAUCAGCCCAGUUUCUAACAUUCACGACGUUCGUAGCUUUUUAAUGGUAAUACCUCCUAAGAGAUUGGACCGUGAGUAUUUUAGGCACCGGGAGAUUCAAGUUUACGUCUCGCUUCUGUGCUGAAGGGAGAUUGGUCAGUAGUGGGGGAAGGAAAACCAGAUUCCGGCAAAGCUUUUUAGCUUAGGGCAGGCAGAAGGCUUCCCCGUGUUGUGUCUUCAUUCAUCAUUGGGCAUUUUGCAUUAAAAACCCACUCUCCUCACAACCAGUGCUGAUAAUCUCUCACCCUUUGUCCAAAUAUGCGUUGAUAUAUACUACUGAAGUGUGCAACUUAAUGCUAUUGCUUUGUCUAGACAAAAUAUGAGCACUCCACACUGAGUAAAGGUGAACGAGGAUUCUAUGCCUGUAGUGCAGAAGUGACCUAUUUAUGUAACCCAGGGUAUUAUUUACAGGAGACAAUAUUUGUACCCCACUAUCGCAGUAUAUUUCAGUGCUGCUUGGAAUUAAGUUUGCUUUGCUUUGUUUUUAAAGUGGAAUUAGAAUUUAGAAUCAGCGCUGCUGUCAACUAAAGAAGAAAGAAAAGUGCAAUGAAAUUUCUCUCUCAGAAAGCUCUGUUAAUGCAGCUGGUCUGCCAUCUAUCCAGCAGUUGUGCUUUUUGCCUAGUGGCCAUCAUGGAGAUACAGGUAAGUAAAUUAGGGGUAGGUGCCGCUUUCAUUUACUGUCUGAUUCUGUUCUAUAUUUAAUCACUGCACUAUUUGUCAUCGUAGAAAUUUGACAGUGUUUCAGAACACUGAAAAGCUGGAUGCAUUUCCUAUGGCAUCACAGGUUAGGCAGUCUUCAUUCAGCUUUUGGAGAUCGUGGAUAGAAGAGGGGUUACAAAUAUUUAUCGGAAGUUGCACUAAUUGUGAAGAUCAGCAUAAGCAAUGUCAUUUGUAAUGCACACAUCUCAGAGGAAGCCUCUCAGUACGACCUGCAAGUUAUCAAAUAUGAGAACAUUUUCCCUCUUUGAGGAGCAGAAAGUUAACAGGUAUACAUAUUUAAAUACCAGAAGUGAGGUAAAGAGAAGCAUUUGAAUUAAGGCACCAUUAUUUACAAAUUCCACUAUUGGCACUCACUCCAAUAAAUCACAGAGAUGCACUCAUCUGGGAGUAAAUGCAAUGCUAAGGAGUUUUUCCAGCCCUUCAACCUUCAUUUCUACAGGCGUGUGUGAAGCCACCAAAACUUUUACCCAUCACAGCCUCUGUGAUGUCUAGUGUCUAGAUGCUAGUGUAAGAAUAGUCCUAGAAAUAUGUAGUUUCUUUAAUAUCCUCCAGCAUCACGCCACGGAUGACAUAAAACAAAGGAAUUAUAAAGCAAAAAAAUGUGUUAUAUCCACAGGCCUAACGAUUAAGUAAUGGUUUAAGCAACCGGUAUCUGUUCAUUGUAUUGUCACAGAUGGUUUAAAAUCCCCUUCCUUUACCUGCAGCUCUUAAGAAAGGUUCAAAAUAAUGCUUUGAUAACACUGCAUAAGAAUAAUCCAGCAAUGGUUUUCUAGAAAUCCUCCAAAUUAGGCUACAUGAAGGUUGGUCCAAUUUAUCAGUUGAAACGCAGUCUCUUAUUUUUAAGAUGCACAAGUUAUUUUCAAGUCAGAAGAUGCACAAAGCACAAGUGAAUGCAACUGUUCCAUUCUUACUCAGCUGUAGAAAUGAGUUCAUAGAUAGGGCACAGCAGUUAGUCGAUACCAGUUAACAGUCUCCUUGCUCAAGUUGAAGUCCUUCAGAGAGAGUGUAAUUCCACCCAAGAAGAAGUUCUCACGUAAUGAUUCCGCACUGAGCACACUCAGCUGGAGUUCUCUCUGCUUCAGAGUUUCCACGCUAUAUCCACUGUACACAAGCUGGAAGGUAAGAAGUCAAGAAUUUUGGUUAUUCAAAUGAAGUGACACAGGUGGCUCCUUUUUCUGCCUGCCUCACCACUGAUGUUGAAUUGCAGAUCGCGGCCAUUCCAUACGUCUGCUUUUCUGAGGCUAGGCUGAAGCCCAUGCAUAUUUCAUUACGUGCUCUUAAGUGUUUAAAAGGACCAAUGUUUUUAGAUAGAAGUACUGUUUACCUGUGGUAUGUUCUGAAUUCAUUCUUUUCCACAUUCUGAAUCAAUGAAUCGAAGGAAGAAUCUUUAGUUUUAAGACUCUUUCACUUCUCACCAUCACUCCUCAAAGUCAAGUCUAAGAAAUUUCUGCUAAUUUGUAACAUAGGCCCAUUUUAUUCUUUAUUUUUUUUUAACAAGGCACAAAAAGUUUUGGAAACAAGUUCAUUUUGGAUUUAUAUAUAUAUUUGCAGGGUGAUUUUAGACAAGAUUUUGAUUACUGCUUAGAAUAAAAGAUGAUAGCAAACCAUACAGAGUUGCUACAAAAAAUUGAACUUGCCAUUUCAUUGAAAGUUGGAUUUCUCGUCUUCCGGGAGAUUUUGGUUUUGCGUUUGGAUGUUUUGUGCGUGUCUGGCAAUAAGUAUGUUUUUACGUAGGGAUUUGGAUCUGCACCAUCUUCUGUAACCUGGAAUCCAAAACCAAGACGUGUUAGAAGAUGAGUUGGAAAAGUAGUUAUUGCACACUUACACGACUACUUUCGAAUUGCUAGUCUUAACCACCAAGCAGAUCAAAAGCAGCAGCUGAUAUCUUUGAUGUGCAUCACCAUGAUAAACAGAGUGCUAUUUCUGUAUGAUAUGGAUAGCUUCACUUCUCCACCCACUUUGCCUGAGGUUGGGUUCAGCUACUCAGGUUUCCUGCACAUUCCCAUGGACCUACUUCAGAAUCUCCUGGAGCAACACUUGGAGGCCAGCCUAUGACUUCACUCUGAGAAGAUGUGAGAAAGUACAGUUUCCCCUGGAAUACCUGUCCUUAAAAGAGAGCAGCAGUAACUCCUACCACUACCAGUUCUCCUACACAACUUUAAAGAAGUCUUAAGCAGUUAUGACAGAUGUAUCAUGCGUAAAAUAUAUUCUUGGCCACCCAAAAAGGAAAUUCUGUGGAUACUUUCAAGAUUCUGAAACGUUCAUUCAAGGUGGUGUCAUGCCAGCACUAAGGUGGAAGUUUCCUAUUGUACAGUUAUGAAAUUGAGCUGCUUACUGAAAAAACUAGCCAUCUUCAGACAUCUCUUCCUAAUCGUGGAACUGAUGAGACGGUUUCUAGAUGUACAAGAACAAGCUUACAAAGUAUUUAAGCAUACUGAUCUAUGCUGAAGUUAAUCAUUCUUUCAUUGGUAUCAACUACCAUUUAACAUUUUUCCAAUACACACGUAAGGCCUACCUUAAACAUCACAUUAAUUUCUUCUCCCAGAGGGUCUGCAUUUAUCAGUGCAAUUUUCAGUGGUACUGCAUUGGAGCUGAAGAAGGAGCAUGCCUACAAGUAGAUUUAUUGUUACUAUUCAAAAAGGACUACAAGGGCUAGUGCAGGAAACAUGACAUUCUGACAACAAGCACGUAUGACACAAUGUGCAUAUUCACACUCAUAACAUUGCAAUUGUGGUGAAAGUGUUUCCUUUGAACAAAGGGCCCUUUAGCUGAUAUUUGUUCAAUUCUUGUACAAAAGCCAACAGUUCAGCACAGUAAUGUUUUGUGUUGCAUCGAAGAAUGAGUAAAACAUGGAUAAAUAUUUUACCAGCAACUUUUUAAAACUUAAGACUAUAAAAACUGGAUAUUUGUGCCUUUCACUAUGUUCUCAUUUAUCUGUUUUCAAAUACAUAUUCAUGAUUUAAUUAAGACACUUGUAGUAGAGAAGGAAAGCAAAGGGAACUCUGGAUCUACUCUGGAUUAAAUCCCAUGCUCACGGACCUUUAGAUUCUCAGUUACGCACAAUGAUAUAAUCAAGGCUGUCAAACACGGUCAAACUUUGCAGAGUUCAGCAAAAACUCAUUUAUCAGCUUCUACACUAUCAUUUGUUGGACUUUUAUAAUGAAAUAAAGCUACUGCCUGUUUCCCUGGCACAACCAGUAACAGGCACAUUCACUGAUUUCACGGUAUUUAUUCAUUGUUUUAUCUUUAUAGCGUUAUUCACUUUUCUCUUUUGAUUACUACUGAAAACAAGACCUUCUCAUACGCUUUUGAGUAUUCCUCUCCUACAGCCACAAUUGCUGGUCUCAAAGCAGAAAAGGUCUGAAGAAAUAAUCACAUUUUAAUUAUUUACUAACAGGACCUUCCCCUGGUAUAAGUAUUUGUAUAAUUUUUCUUUUCUUAAUUAAUUUUACUCCCUCUUUCAAUCAGCAUUUUUAAUUAGAACUCUCC
Molecule: long non-coding RNA, 4612 nt
Filed under: Gallus gallus (chicken)
Lineage: Eukaryota; Metazoa; Chordata; Aves; Galliformes; Phasianidae
Source: RNAcentral